AACGAACGCUGGCGGCAGGCUUCAUACAUGCAAGUCGAGCGCGAACGUCCCUUCGGGGGCUAGUAGAGCGGCGGACGGGUGAGUAACAGGUGGAUAACCUGCCCUUCGGCGGGGACAACGGUUGGAAACGACCGCUAAUACCGCGUACGUUCGCUUUGUCACAAGGCAGAGCGGAAGAAGGCGCUUCAAGCGCCACCGAAGGAUGGGUCCGCCUCCCAUUAGCUAGUUGGUGAGAUAACAGCCCACCAAGGCAACGAUGGGUAGCCGAGCUGAGAGGUUGAUCGGCCACACUGGGACUGAGACACGGCCCAGACACCUACGGGUGGCAGCAGUAGGGAAUAUUGGACAAUGGGCGCAAGCCUGAUCCAGCCAUGCCGCGUGGAGGAUGAAGGCCUCGGUCGU
This 402-nucleotide ribosomal RNA is filed under the name uncultured bacterium. RNAcentral describes it as "bacterial SSU rRNA". It matches the Rfam family "Bacterial small subunit ribosomal RNA", at positions 29 to 426 of the family's 1533-position model. The record is from RNAcentral.